CCUACGGUGAGCAGCAGUGGGGAAUAUUGCACAAUGGGGGAAACCCUGAUGCAGCAACGCCGCGUGAGUGAAGAAGUAUUUCGAUAUGUAACGCUCUAUCAGCAGGGAAGAAGAUGACGUUAUCUGAGUAAGAAGCCCCGGCUAACGACGUGCCAGCAUCCGCGGUAAUACGUCGGGGGCAAGCUUUCUCCGGUGUUACGGGGUGUAAAGGGAGAGUCGACGGCAUAGCAAAGCUGAAGUGAAAGCCCACGGCUCAACCAUGGGACUGGUUUGGAAACUGUUAAGCUAGAGUGCUGUAGAGGUAAGCAGAAUUCCUAGUGUAGCGGUGAAAUGCGUAGAUAUUAGGAAGAACACCAGUGGCGAAGGCGGCUUACUGGACAGUAACUGACGUUGAGGUUCGAAAGCGUGGGGAUCAAACAGGAUUAGAUACCCCGGUAGUC
Molecule: ribosomal RNA, 440 nt
Filed under: uncultured bacterium
Lineage: Bacteria
Description: partial 16S ribosomal RNA
Rfam family: Bacterial small subunit ribosomal RNA
Source: RNAcentral